This is an RNA transcript of Triticum aestivum (bread wheat), 3087 nucleotides long. RefSeq lists it as uncharacterized. The transcript is spliced from 6 exons. The record is from RefSeq and is a predicted model, not a curated record. Lineage: Eukaryota; Viridiplantae; Streptophyta; Magnoliopsida; Poales; Poaceae.
UAGAUGUUCUUAGAUGGACGUGGAGUAAUUGGUCCCGAGCACACAUGUGCCCGAUAUCUCCUCCGUUCGCUAAUGCAUGUGGAUGUGGGCCAAUAGUUUAUACGGUGCGUUAAGGGCAGCUCGUAAAAGCGGACUGCAGUGAAAUACGUAUGCGUCAGAGGCGGUUCGUGGGCCGGGCUAGCAGCGUGGGCGGACGGGUUUCUGGGCGGCCGUCGACCGCCGACGAGGUGAGCCGUGGAUCAGGUUCUCGAUUUCCGUCUGCUCCGUGGCUCAGAAAAGUCGCUGCUCCACGCAUUGAAUGCAAGGUGUGUCUGUUCUUCCCCAACGCGGCCGUCAUUUUGGAGAUUCAGAGGCAAGGAGGGGAGAGAGUGGAAGAACAGGCGACCGACAGGAUGGAUUUCCUCAUGCAAUCAGGAGAUCCAAUCGGAUUGAGGAGGUUGGGGGAGAGUCUAGUGCUGGAAGGGUUGCCGGCACAUGGCGCCAGGCGGACAGUGGUCAAGUUGACGCUGCAGGAGGCCACGGGCGUGAGCGCCAAAGGGCGGAUCUGCGGCGUGGCUGAAGCGGCGGCAGUGGCAAGGGGCAGCGGCAGUGACAAGGGGCAGCCCGCCUCUGACUUCCGAGCUGUCGACGGGGAAGAUGAAUCCUCAGGCUCCUCGUUGGAACAAGAGUUUGGUUGAAUUUCUGCUGGGAGUACUCUGUGACAUGAAUUAGCGUGCAAACUCACUGUUCUGAAUUGAAAUAAAUUCAACAUUGCUAUGAAGAUUUACGGUUGAGGAUUGGAGCUUCUGCCCCAAGCUUGACACCUUGCUCACCCCGCGUAAGCGCUUUUGAGAAGGCAGUUAGGGUCUUCGUAGAAAACCCAACUGAAGAUGAGCCGUGGCUUGUAAUUUGGCGGUGGUAAUCUGGUUCGCGGACCAGGAAAUUCACUCUCUGUUAGGUGGAUGGCUUGAAUCAUUCACUGCAGGCCGGUGGCUCCCCGACUGCGGUAUCCAAAUCCAUUUCCAGUCAGCGGGGUGCUGCAGCGCACAUGACUCCAUUCCAGCGAUGGAGUUCCUAAUGCAGCCAAUUAGAAGGUAUCCUAUUGUGGAGGAGGUGAGUGAGAGUGAGCAGGAGAUGAAUCUGCCAGCAAACAGGGCGGUGGCGACUUUCCCGAUAGUGGAUGAACCGUCGGCGGCCUAUCCACGCAGAUGUGUGAGUUACAGACUGCCGUGUUGGGAAGACGGAAGAGCCCGUCGCAGCAAUCUGAACUAUCAACUGGUAAGAUGAACCUGCAGGCGCUGUGAUGGUCUAAAAGGUGCGCGCGUGUAAGCUUAGAUUGGAUCUGAAUUUAUUGAGAAUGCUUGAAUGAAAUUGUAGUAGAAUGCAUAGAUCUAUCGAUGCAGUGACAUUCAUUCGGUAGCAUGAGAAAUUGUCUACAUGGCACUUUUAGAGCAUGUUUGUAUUAAUAAUUGACACACUGUACUAGUUGAAAUUAGCUCAUGAUUGAGCAAUUCUGAAGAAAAAGAAGUACAUGCCGUUCGGACAAUUUGUCAGUUUGAAAAACCAUAACCAGAGUGUGAUCUUAGCUGGCGUCCUGGUACACGAUGAGACCGUGUAGAGUUUUGAGUGGUUUUUUACUGAAUUCCUGAGGAUUAUGGGACCUGUAGCACCAAGGACAAUCCUAACAGGUAUGUUGAUUAAGGACAUUUCUUAAAAAGAGUACUUGAAGAUGGUGCUGGUAGUAUGAUGAUAUGAUUGUUUCUUGUUUUUGUUCAUGUGCAGACCAGAAUCGAGCUGCAGUUAACAGUGUGAUGCUUGUUGGUGUGCCGAUGGCUGGGGCACAAGAGAACUACUUAUCCAGAUCGUGGCGAUGUGCCAAAUCAGCCUUGGAAGCCGACGAAGUGCAAAAAUUGUGGUGUGGUGGGGCACCAAAGGAAUAAUUUUACGAAAGCAAUGGACCUGAGGUUAGCUGGUGACGUGUGGUGGUGAGUGAAAAAUGCCAAACGAUUUCAGCAAGUUUGAAUGGUCAAAGUGUGACUUGUUUUCUGCAUUCGUGAUGUGUUUGUGCAACUGAGCACCUGCCCUGCGUGCAGGCAUGCUUUAUGUCUUGAGUUGUAAUACAAAUGUAUUCAGUGAUGCAUUAGUGGGUGCUGUGAAGUAUCUAGGGUUGAAAAAAAAUCCUUUUUCAGUUGGGUUUAUGGAAGGUGAACUGCUUAAUUAGAUGAAACCAUGCAAGUGGAUUGACUUUUUAUAAUCAGUUGUUGUUUUGUAUGCUUGAGGGAAGUCUACAGCCGGGCAGAUGGAUAUAGUCGUCAGUGCGGGCGACGACGGCUCUAUGGUGACCUUGCAUGCAGGUAUGUUGUCAAUCAUUUGUUGAUGUUUCAGUAAUAAGUGUGUUGUUCUCGCGUUGAACCCCUUGCAAAAAAAAAGUCAUGACACAAGGGUUGCCCUGUUUGGAAAACGCUGUUAAGUACUCCCUCCGUUCCUAAAUAUAAGUCUUUUAGAGAUUUCACUAUGGACUACAUACGAAGCAAAAUAAGUGAACCUACACUCUAAAAUAUGUCUAUAUACAUCCGUAUGUAGUUUGUAGUGGAAUCUCUAAAAAGACUUACAAUUAGGAACGGAGGGAGUAGGUAGCAGCAGAUGAUGCAGAGGGGCACUGUCGAGCAAGCGUCAAAUGUGGCAAUGCAGAGUGAGGAUGCAAUAAAGUAUUGGACUGACGCUUCAGAAGGCGUGACACUUUCCACUGGACUAGGCGCCGGAAUAUGAUCCAGUCAACCUGGCGACUGUUGAUGUUGUUGGGGAGGGCUAAGGUGAUUAUGAUCCAGUAAUGAAUCGUGGAGAUGAGUCGAACAAAUUGUUUGGUGUCGGCGAUGGAUCCGUCAUCCGUUGCUGGAAAUGGGUGCGUUAUUCCGACGAGGAGUACGCAGAAGUGAGCAAUUCUGAACCAAAACGACGGCGGCUCGUUUAGGGAAGAACUAGGAUCAGUUUGCUGGCGUUGCGUCGGGUAAUGAUGUCAUUACCCGCCUAGUGCUAGUGGUGUGAUGUAAUCCAUGUACAAGUUUGUUGUGCUGUCAUAGUUAAUUAAGAUCCAUAAUCGUCAUAUCA